GGACAUUGCUGGAAUUCACAUAUACUCCACUGCCUCUACCUCGAUUCCACUUAGAAGGUGCAUUUGGACAGGUUGAGGGAGGAUCAUGCAAGCAGAUUCUUGGUUGCUUUAUUGUUAUCAGUUGGGAAGGGAAAAGGAACUAGAGGGCUCAGAAGACAAGUAAUGGGGUACUGAGGUGUUUGCUUAUUGAACAUAGAUAAUGAUAGUCAUCAACAUUUGGAGUCCUGUGUGAAACUGGCUGUUUUGUCUCAGGUCCAGUGCUCCUGGGUUAGUGUCCAAAGUACAGUUGGCAUAUUUGUUAUGAGUAACAGCAGAGGUCAGGAACUCACUGGGAUUUGAGAAUGUAUUAGCUUGUCAUCCCUCCAUAUCAGGGAGCACAUAUUCUAUCUCCAUAUUCCCUCCAUAUCCGGAGCACACGAACAGAGAGUAGACUUCAUCCUGCUCUCUCUUUCACAGGUGUGUAACCCCACUGACUUCAGUAUAAGUGAGAGGAGAGUCAGGUACUCACCACAGGAAACUUGCUCUGCUGCUGCACCUGCUCUCUGGCUCAACAAAGGGCAUCGGUCUCCAGAGCUGUCAGCCCAGCACUAACAUUCACCCUAAGGUGAUGCACCUUUGCAGCACUAGUGAGGAUGGGAUGCAUCAAGGGGAAGAGCACAUGGGCACACAGGCACUUGCUAUGGGAAGGCCUUUCCAAGGCACUGGUGGGAAAAGAUGGGAGCCUCAGCCAGGCACUGGCUCCUCUUCCUGUCCACACUUCAGAGUCUCCUUCCUGGUAAGGCCUCAUUUCACAAGCCAGUGAGAGGGGGUGUUCCAGGGGAGUAGCACUCUUUGAAAC
This 838-nucleotide long non-coding RNA is filed under the name Gopherus agassizii (Agassiz's desert tortoise). RNAcentral's name for it is "lncRNA (ENSGAGG00000017931.1)". The record is from RNAcentral. Lineage: Eukaryota; Metazoa; Chordata; Testudines; Testudinidae.